RNAcentral lists this ribosomal RNA (479 nucleotides) under uncultured bacterium. Its description in RNAcentral is "partial 16S ribosomal RNA". It matches the Rfam family "Bacterial small subunit ribosomal RNA", at positions 46 to 523 of the family's 1533-position model. The record is from RNAcentral.
GCUUAACACAUGCAAGUCGAGCGGUAACAUGACUAGUAGCAAUACUAGUUGAUGACGAGCGGCGGACGGGUGAGUAACACGUAGGAACUUGCCCAGUAGUGGGGGACAACCAAGGGAAACUUUGGCUAAUACCGCAUAUUCUCGAGAGAGGAAAGCUGCCGCAAGGUGGCGCUAUUGGAGAGGCCUGCGUCCGAUUAGCUAGUUGGUAGGGUAAAAGCCUACCAAGGCGAGGAUCGGUAACUGGUCUGAGAGGACGACCAGUCACACUGGGACUGAGACACGGCCCAGACUCCUACGGGAGGCAGCAGUGGGGAAUCUUGGACAAUGGGGGCAACCCUGAUCCAGCGACGCCGCGUGAAGGACGAAGGUCUUCGGAUUGUAAACUUCUUUUGGAGGGGAUGAAUGCCUUGGUGAAUAGCCAAGGGUGACAGUACUCUCUGAAUAAGCCACGGCUAACUACGUGCCAGCAGCCGCAGUAA